Molecule: unclassified non-coding RNA, 267 nt
Filed under: Hevea brasiliensis (rubber tree)
Lineage: Eukaryota; Viridiplantae; Streptophyta; Magnoliopsida; Malpighiales; Euphorbiaceae
Source: RNAcentral
CGAUGCACUAUGUCAUCUGGAUGCCCAGUCCGGAAACAGGUACAAAGGUGUGCGGAGGACCAUGCAGUCCUUAUAACAACUUAUGAAGGUCAUCACAACCAUCCACUCCCUCCAGCAGCAACGGGCAUGGCAUCUACUACAUCAGCAGCAGCUUCAAUGCUACUUUCGGGGUCUAUGCCUAGUCCUGACGGGCUAAUGACCACAAAUUUAUUAGCAAAAACUUUACCUUGCCCUCCAGGCUUCGCAACACUUUCAGCUUCAGCUCCA